GUGCGGGGACGCUGUCUACGCACCCCCGCGCCAUCUGUCGGGAGCCGUCCGUUACGGCACGGGACGGCACAGAUGAGAGGA
This 81-nucleotide non-coding RNA is filed under the name unclassified sequences. Its description in RNAcentral is "aspS RNA". It matches the Rfam family "aspS RNA". The record is from RNAcentral.